RNAcentral lists this non-coding RNA (193 nucleotides) under Mycobacterium sp. Lineage: Bacteria; Bacillati; Actinomycetota; Actinomycetes; Mycobacteriales; Mycobacteriaceae. The record is from RNAcentral.
GGCUCAGCCGCUGAGGACGGUCGCAUCCGUGCCAUUAGCGGAUGCCAGGGAACCCGGUGAGAAUCCGGGACUGGCGCGCAGCGGUAUGGGAGUUGGACUCGACACAGGUCACUGGAGGCCGCGAAGGCUUCCGGGAAGGCGUCGAGUCCGGAACAUCCCGAGUCCGAAGACCUGCCGUUCUCGUUGAGUCCAC